UGCUCUCGUUUCUAGUCUUGGUCAGAAAAGAGCUGAUAUGAAAUAAAUAAAUCUUGGGCGGCUUGACAGGUUUAAAAUGAUUCAGGAAAAUCACACAAGAGGUGACUUUCUAAUACAGAGGGAAGACUUGCCCAGGGAGGAAGAAAAUAUUGGCAGAAUGGAUCACCUGUCCAUUGUCGAAUCUGGGUAAUUCCAACAUCAAAUUCAUCAGGAUCCAUAACUGGUGUGUGUUCCUGUCGUGAACCGAGUGCUCAGAAAUUUGGGAAUCAUUGAGGACCUCUUGCAUGAUGAGAACAACUCUAAACCUCAAAGUCUCCUACAUCAUGCUCGUGCUCCUUACUGUCUACCUGUACUGCACUCUCUCUAUGCUGCCUGACCCGCUGAGUAUUUCCAGCAUUACAGAUGAGGAUGUUUCAUGAGCCAGCUGUUGAUGCCAGGGAUGUAGAAAACACCAGUUGACUACUUAUAUCUCAUAGUUGCCACCAAGCUAUCUCUGCUAAUUGGAGUCUUUGUGCUCAAGGAAUGGUAGCUAUUUGUACAACACGUGCAGAAAGACUG
Long non-coding RNA from Mobula hypostoma (lesser devil ray), 558 nucleotides. RefSeq lists it as uncharacterized. The record is from RefSeq and is a predicted model, not a curated record. The transcript has 4 exons. NCBI's taxonomy places the organism in Eukaryota, Metazoa, Chordata, Chondrichthyes, Myliobatiformes, Myliobatidae.